Molecule: ribosomal RNA, 1372 nt
Filed under: uncultured bacterium
Lineage: Bacteria
Description: bacterial SSU rRNA
Rfam family: Bacterial small subunit ribosomal RNA
Source: RNAcentral
GAUAAACGCUGGCGGCGUGCCUAAUACAUGCAAGUCGAGCGAACGGACGAGAAGCUUGCUUCUCUGAUGUUAGCGGCGGACGGGUGAGUAACACGUGGAUAACCUACCUAUAAGACUGGGAUAACUUCGGGAAACCGGAGCUAAUACCGGAUAAUAUUUUGAACCGCAUGGUUCAAAAGUGAAAGACGGUCUUGCUGUCACUUAUAGAUGGAUCCGCGCUGCAUUAGCUAGUUGGUAAGGUAACGGCUUACCAAGGCAACGAUGCAUAGCCGACCUGAGAGGGUGAUCGGCCACACUGGAACUGAGACACGGUCCAGACUCCUACGGGAGGCAGCAGUAGGGAAUCUUCCGCAAUGGGCGAAAGCCUGACGGAGCAACGCCGCGUGAGUGAUGAAGGUCUUCGGAUCGUAAAACUCUGUUAUUAGGGAAGAACAUAUGUGUAAGUAACUGUGCACAUCUUGACGGUACCUAAUCAGAAAGCCACGGCUAACUACGUGCCAGCAGCCGCGGUAAUACGUAGGUGGCAAGCGUUAUCCGGAAUUAUUGGGCGUAAAGCGCGCGUAGGCGGUUUUUUAAGUCUGAUGUGAAAGCCCACGGCUCAACCGUGGAGGGUCAUUGGAAACUGGAAAACUUGAGUGCAGAAGAGGAAAGUGGAAUUCCAUGUGUAGCGGUGAAAUGCGCAGAGAUAUGGAGGAACACCAGUGGCGAAGGCGACUUUCUGGUCUGUAACUGACGCUGAUGUGCGAAAGCGUGGGGAUCAAACAGGAUUAGAUACCCUGGUAGUCCACGCCGUAAACGAUGAGUGCUAAGUGUUAGGGGGUUUCCGCCCCUUAGUGCUGCAGCUAACGCAUUAAGCACUCCGCCUGGGGAGUACGACCGCAAGGUUGAAACUCAAAGGAAUUGACGGGGACCCGCACAAGCGGUGGAGCAUGUGGUUUAAUUCGAAGCAACGCGAAGAACCUUACCAAAUCUUGACAUCCUUUGACAACUCUAGAGAUAGAGCCUUCCCCUUCGGGGGACAAAGUGACAGGUGGUGCAUGGUUGUCGUCAGCUCGUGUCGUGAGAUGUUGGGUUAAGUCCCGCAACGAGCGCAACCCUUAAGCUUAGUUGCCAUCAUUAAGUUGGGCACUCUAAGUUGACUGCCGGUGACAAACCGGAGGAAGGUGGGGAUGACGUCAAAUCAUCAUGCCCCUUAUAAUUUGGGCUACACACGUGCUACAAUGGACAAUACAAAGGGCAGCGAAACCGCGAGGUCAAGCAAAUCCCAUAAAGUUGUUCUCAGUUCGGAUUGUAGUCUGCAACUCGACUACAUGAAGCUGGAAUCGCUAGUAAUCGUAGAUCAGCAUGCUACGGUGAAUACGUUCCCGGGUCU